This 487-nucleotide ribosomal RNA is filed under the name uncultured bacterium. RNAcentral describes it as "bacterial SSU rRNA". It matches the Rfam family "Bacterial small subunit ribosomal RNA", at positions 28 to 509 of the family's 1533-position model. The record is from RNAcentral.
GAUGAACGCUAGCGGCAGGCUUAACACAUGCAAGUCGAGGGGCAACACGGGUAGCAAUACCUGGUGGCGACCGGCGCAAGGGUGCGUAACGCGUGAGCAACAUGCCCUAUACAGGGGGAUAAUCCAGGGAAACUUGGUCUAAUAUCCCAUAGUAUUUAGAGGUGGCAUCACCACUAAAUUAAAGCUUCGGUGGUAUAGGAUUGGCUCGCGUGACAUUAGCUGGAUGGUGGGGUAACGGCUCACCAUGGCGAUGAUGUCUAGGGGUUCUGAGAGGAAGACCCCCCACACUGGGACUGAGACACGGCCCAGACUCCUACGGGAGGCAGCAGUGAGGAAUAUUGGACAAUGGAUGGAAAUCUGAUCCAGCCAUGCCGCGUGCAGGAAGACGGCCCUAUGGGUUGUAAACUGCUUUUCCAGGGAGAGAAACUUACGCACGUGUUGCGUGACUGACGGUACCCUGGGAAUAAGCAUCGGCUAACUCCGUGCC